Molecule: long non-coding RNA, 442 nt
Organism: Oreochromis aureus
Lineage: Eukaryota; Metazoa; Chordata; Actinopteri; Cichliformes; Cichlidae
Source: Ensembl
GAGCUUUGAACAAAUCCAAACCUCCUGAGCUUCACCUCCACAAAGGUGUGACAGGUGAAGGACACCGGCGAAUAGGAGGACAGAACCUGAGAGCCAUUAGUCACAAGACUUCAGCUGCUGCUGCCUCACCAACCACUGGCCCCUCGGUGUCUGGUAAAAGGACGAUGCUGCUGUCCCAUGAGGCGAGGAGAGAAGUAGCCAAACAGGCAAGAGCCGUGAAGGAGGAACGACGGGCAGCUCUGGAUGCCCGACAUAAAUACCUGAUGAGCAGGCUGGCAGAUGGCGGCAGCCUGGAGGAGGCGGCGGUGGAAGACGCCAUCGUCUCUGAUGACAGAGUAAGUUCAGAGACGUGAUCCUUCCUCAGAGUUUAACCUUUGAGUCAUUAAUGUCUGAUUCUUCCAGUUCAGUCUGAUCCAUGAAUUCUUUGCUGCAAAUUUGGGCC